AGGACAUGCCUGGACUUCAAAAAUGUAAAUGUCACUGAACUCCUACAACACUGGGUAUGAGGAAUCAGAAGCAGUAGGUCAAGACAUGAAUGACAUCAAGAAGUGUGGUACUGAUUCUUUAGUUAGCAACUAGAUGAAAUUUCAAUGCCAGGACUUAUAUCCUGGCAGAGGACACAGAAAACAAGCAAACAAGUAAAACACAUAGUAUGUCAGAGGAAGAGGAAGGUAAGGGCUAUGGAGAGGAAAAGCAAACACAGUGGUCAAAAUUAUAAGAG
RNAcentral lists this long non-coding RNA (275 nucleotides) under Homo sapiens (human). RNAcentral describes it as "HSALNT0163591". Lineage: Eukaryota; Metazoa; Chordata; Mammalia; Primates; Hominidae. The record is from RNAcentral.